RNAcentral lists this microRNA precursor (200 nucleotides) under Dichanthelium oligosanthes. Its description in RNAcentral is "MIR1435 microRNA precursor family". It matches the Rfam family "MIR1435 microRNA precursor family". Lineage: Eukaryota; Viridiplantae; Streptophyta; Magnoliopsida; Poales; Poaceae. The record is from Rfam by way of RNAcentral.
AAGAUUUAUCUUAAGUCAAACUAUUUUAAGUUUGACCAAGCUUAUACAAAAAGGUACCAAUAUUUAGAACACCAAAAAAUUAUUUUAUGAAAGUAUAUUUCACGAUAAAUCUACUGAUAUUUAUUUGGUGUACUAGAUAUUAGUAUAUUUUUAUAUAAACUUAGUCAAACUUUGAAUAGUUUGACUUAAGACAAAGCUAA